This 776-nucleotide ribosomal RNA is filed under the name uncultured Alphaproteobacteria bacterium. RNAcentral's name for it is "bacterial SSU rRNA". It matches the Rfam family "Bacterial small subunit ribosomal RNA", at positions 10 to 794 of the family's 1533-position model. The record is from RNAcentral. Lineage: Bacteria; Pseudomonadati; Pseudomonadota; Alphaproteobacteria.
AGUUUGAUCCUGGCUCAGAUUGAACGCUGGCGGCAUGCUUAAUACAUGCAAGUCGAACGAGAAAGUCCCUUCGGGGGCGAGUAAAGUGGCGAACGGGUGAGUAACGCGUAGAUAACAUACCUUCAGGUGGGGGAUAGCCAGUCGAAAGAUUGGAUAAUACCGCAUAUGACCACAGUAUCUGUGGAUACAGGGGUAAAAGAUUUAUCGCCUAAAGAUUGGUCUGCGUCCGAUUAGCUUGUUGGUGGGGUAAAAGCCUACCAAGGCUGUGAUCGGUAGCUGGUCUGAGAGGAUGAUCAGCCACAUUGGGACUGAGACACGGCCAAACUCCUACGGGAGGCAGCAGUAGGGAAUCUUGCGCAAUGGGCGAAAGCCUGACGCAGCCAUGCCGCGUGAGUGAAGAAGGCCCUCGGGUUGUAAAACUCUUUCGCCGGUGACGAUCGUGACGGUAACCGGUAAAGAAGCCCCGGCAACUCCGUGCCAGCAGCCGCGGGUAAGACGGAGGGGGCUAGCGUUGUUCGGAAUUUACUGGGCGUAAAGGGCGUGUAGGCGGAUGGAUCAGUCGGGGGUGAAAGCCCGGGGUUCAACCCCGGGACGGCCUUCGAUACUGUCCAUCUUGAGGCCGGAAGAGGUUGAGCGGAAUUCCCCAGGUGUAGAGGUGGAAUCGGAGAUUUGGGGGAGAACACCCAGAGGGCGAAGGGGGGUCAACUGGGUCCGGUCUGGACGCGAAGGGCGAAAAANCGUGGGGGAGCGACCAGGAUUAGAUACCCCGGGGUAGC